RNAcentral lists this ribosomal RNA (253 nucleotides) under uncultured bacterium. RNAcentral's name for it is "partial 16S ribosomal RNA". It matches the Rfam family "Bacterial small subunit ribosomal RNA", at positions 524 to 776 of the family's 1533-position model. The record is from RNAcentral.
UACGAAGGGGGCUAGCGUUGUUCGGAAUCACUGGGCGUAAAGGGCGCGUAGGCGGCGCGACAAGUCAGGCGUGAAAGCCCCGGGCUCAACCCGGGGAAUUGCGCUUGAUACUGUCGUGCUUGAGGCCGGGAGAGGAUGGCGGAAUUCCCAGUGUAGAGGUGAAAUUCGUAGAUAUUGGGAAGAACACCGGUGGCGAAGGCGGCCAUCUGGACCGGUUCUGACGCUGAGGCACGAAAGCGUGGGAGCAAACAGG